GGCUUUGCCUCCGAGCACCCCCGAGAGCGCGGCAGACUCCCCGGGGCGCCCCGAAGAACUGGCGAGCCUUUCAAGGGAAAGAAGGUUUGCAGGCUCUCCCCAGGCCGAGGGAAAAAGAAGAGAGCGAAAGAGGAAACAGGCCUGGGGGGAGGAGAGUGAAAGCCCCGUGGAAGAGACGAGGAGGAAGAAGAGGGCAGAAGUUUCUGGGGCUGGACCAAAGAGAAGAGGCAGGAGGGUGCAGGAGGCCAGGAGGCCCACGUGGAAGAGACGAGGAGGAAGAAGAGGGCAGAAGUUUCUGGGGCUGGACCAAAGAGAAGAGGCAGGAGGGUGCAGGAGGCCAGGAGGCCCAGGUGCCGAUUCAUUUUCCCUGGCUGAAGCGCUGUGAGUCCUGGGCCCCCGCAGCUGUUGUCCACAAAUAAAAUGAUCUUUUGUCUCUUCGGACUGUGCCUCCUGCCGUGGGAUAUUCGGGAGUGGGGAGCUGUGGUCUGGGGAUGAAUUGUCAGGGAGGAGUCUGGGAUCGUCCCUUGUCCCAGCACCCUUUGCAGCAGGCAUCAGGGCCGAGUGGAGGCGCUUUAGGAGGG
Molecule: long non-coding RNA, 581 nt
Organism: Grus americana (Whooping crane)
Lineage: Eukaryota; Metazoa; Chordata; Aves; Gruiformes; Gruidae
Exons: 3
Source: RefSeq, a predicted model, not a curated record